Cyprinus carpio carpio is the source of this 1024-nucleotide long non-coding RNA. Lineage: Eukaryota; Metazoa; Chordata; Actinopteri; Cypriniformes; Cyprinidae. The record is from Ensembl.
UUCUUCAGUAUAAAGAGCACAUCUGUGUCAGUUUGCAGCACAGUUCUCUUCAGCCGCUGAUGACUAGGACAGAAGGAUUCACUUUGGAUCUUUAUUUCUUCAAGACUUUUUCUUGAUGUAUAUUCAGUGUGAUUACAUGAACAUUUCUCUUCUUCUCACAGUGUAGAAAGGAGAAAACUGUUGGAGCGUCAGAAACCACAGACGAGCAAAAACCAGCAGAACAGAGAGAAUAAUGGACACAAACUGCUGGAGAGAAAAGCAGACAGAGACUUGUUAGAUGAACAGUAUGGAGAAAACAAAUCCAUUGUAUCCUCAUUCAUGUCUCCACUUCCUAGUUGGAUUACCGUCUUCCGUGUUCGUGUGCUGGAUUGUGUUCGUGUUGUCGUCUUCGUGUCAGUGUUCCGGUCUGUUCCUGGUUUCAUCCAUUGACCGUCUUCACCUUCACCAUCGACUUCACCAUCCAGCUCUUCUCACGCCACCGUAGACCUUCGUUUCCAUUGCCUACAUUCUGGACUCUGAUAUCAAUAAACUUCUUCUGAUUGCCUGCAAUUGCUUCCUCCUCUUUUACAAGCCGUCACAGUAGGAUCUGACCAUCAUGGAAGCAGCAGGCGAUCGCUCCCCAUCUCAUCUGGAGGAGUUUCUGCAGAGAGCCGUUGGUCGUAUGGAUCGUCAAGACAAGGCGAUAGAUGAGAUGGGUCGAGCUUUCCAAGCAAUGGUGACGAAGGUGUCCGAGCUCGCUCUCCAGGCUCAACGACAACAACAACCGCCACCCGCUGCGCCUCCCACGCCACCCACACCGCCGAUCGUCUCCGGAGGGAUUUCCCAGUCCGAACCACGCCUCCCCAUCCCUGAGAAAUAUGCGGGUGAGCCAAAGUUUUGUCGAUCAUUUCUGUCUCAUUGUUCUCUGCACUUCGCCCUGCAGCCCCGCACGUUUAACACCGAGGAAAUGAAGGUGGCAUUCGUCUUGUCACUACUGACGGGGAGGGCUGCCCUCUGGGGGACGGCGGUGUGGGAGAACCAAGAC